This 407-nucleotide ribosomal RNA is filed under the name uncultured bacterium. RNAcentral describes it as "partial 16S ribosomal RNA". It matches the Rfam family "Bacterial small subunit ribosomal RNA", at positions 28 to 526 of the family's 1533-position model. The record is from RNAcentral.
GACGAACGCUGGCGGCGUGCCUAAUACAUGCAAGUAGAACGCAGUUGCGAACGGGUGAGUAACGCGUAGGUAACUGCCUGGUAGCGGGGGUUAACUAUUGGAAACGAUAGCUAAUACCGCAUACUACCAGAUGGACCUGCGUUGUAUUAGCUAGUUGGUGAGGUAACGGCUCACCAAGGCAACGAUACAUAGCCGACCGGAGAGGGUGGUCGGGCACAAUGGGACUGGGGCACGGCCCAGACUCCUACGGGAGGCAGCAGUAGUGAAUCUUCGGAAAUGGGGGGAAACCUGACCGAGCAACGCCGGGUGAGUGAAGAAGGUUUUCGGAUCGUAAAGCUCUGUUGUUAAGGAAGCGGUACUUAACCAGAAAGGAACGGCUAACUACGUGCCAGCAGCCGCGGUAAUUC